UUUCAUGAUUACGUACAUUUGGAAAAGGAAAAAUAAAUGGGUAAAACAAGAAGGGCAUGAAAGGCAAUUAGCAGAAAAGUGGAUGCCCUGCACGGCAGGCAAUGAUACUGUUCUUUUUUUUAUAUAUUUACUCCAAAAUAAUAGUAAAUAAAUGAAAUAUAAAACAUCUCAACACGCAAACUAUCCGUGAUGCUUUCUCUGUCACUUCACCUAAUCCAUUCCCAGUGUCAGCACUCGGUAUGCUUCAUCACCAUCAUCACUGCUGCUGCUUCUCCUGCACCCACCCGGCCGUCAUUUCAAAUCCCUCCCUCUUCUCGUGGUCCGCACAUCCCUUUUUUUCUUCUAACACCCCUUAAAUGUGGACCCUUAUCAAGGGUACGUGGCAAUCUUACAUAGUUGUGGCCCCCUCCUCACCAACGAAUCUGUCUGCAGCCAAGGCGUCACGGCACCCUUUAUUAAUGUUACAGCUCCACAAACAUUAAAAAAGAAAAUGCUAGUAUUAAGUACUAGUACUAGUAAAAUGCUGUCGUUGAUUUUUUUUAUCGUACAGGGAGAACUCCGUGAUACUGUCGAUGACGGUGACGGCGGCUCGACGUCGUUUUCAUGCUUCACAUGAACGGUUUUCUUUUGCUCCUGUUUGGCAUGAUUAUUAACGGAGCCGUUUUUCUUGGCGGUUGUCCUUUGGGAGUCGUUGUUCCCACAUCCUACGUUUAUUUUUACCUGCCAGACAUGCAUGAUGAUGAUCAUGCAUGGGUGUGCGAGAUUUGAUGUUUUAUCAUCUUUCAUCGUUUUUAUCAUGGACGAUGAUGAUGAUACAUGACGAUUGGUUGGUUUUGAUUGCUCUUUCCUUUCUUAACACUUAAAUCAACUUUCAAAUUUUUUUUUUUUUCAAUUAUCAUGGAUGAUGACGAUGAAUUGAAUGUAAACGCUUCCAUUGACAGUGGAUUUCGGCGAAUACCACUGAAAAUUUGAGAGAAUUCUGUGGUGCACCACAUGUUAGGGAGCCGCACGUCAUUACAUCGCGUGAGGAAAAGCUUCUUUGGACGGUGGCUAAAUCCUGUCCGCUACUUCCCUGGGCCCAAUGUUGAAACUAAUGACUUAUCAAAGGAUUAUAUUUUUAAAAAUUAUAUAAUAUAUAAUAAUUUUAUAUUAUUCAAAUAUACGAAUUGAGACGUCAAAUUUCAGAGCAAACAAUCAUUCCAUGCAUCUCCAGAGGACAAAAGAAGGACCCAAGGAAUGAAUUUUCCUUAAUUUAACAUUUUAAGGAAAAAACAAAAACAAAUGGGCCCAAUUCUAUGACUUGUAAUACUUACUCUUACUGGGUUUUUCUUUUUUAUUAGAAUAAAAAUUCGGGGAAGAUUUUGUUGAUUGGUGAAACACUUGCUGAGAUGUAGAUGGAACACUUGCUGCCUACGAAAAAAAGGUGAACGAGAAAGGCAUUAAAAAAGGUGAGAAGAAGAGUAAGUGUAUGGACACCUGACCAAAGUAAAUACUUCAUUUCAUUUGUUUAAAACGAACAAAGAAUAAGACCCAAUUAAGAAGGGGAAAAAACGUAUAGAGCCAAUGAGGUUUAAAUUGUAUUCAUAUUAUAACCGUAACUUCAUCUUACGUAUGAAUUCACACUCAAAAAUUAUCUAUUUUGAUUUAAAAUUUUUAUAAUUUUAUCACAUAAAUAAAACUUUAUAAAUAUAAGUUUGUUUUUUUACAUGUAUUAUAUAUCAGAUUUUCAUAUUUUUUCAAUGUAAAAUUAGGUAUAGAUCUCCAUAUCUUAUAGAAAAAUAAAUUAAAGAAUAGCCAUUGCCUCCUAUAAUAAAAAGCGAAAAAAAAAA
Molecule: non-coding RNA, 1829 nt
Organism: Durio zibethinus
Lineage: Eukaryota; Viridiplantae; Streptophyta; Magnoliopsida; Malvales; Malvaceae
Source: RefSeq, a predicted model, not a curated record